Long non-coding RNA from Fundulus heteroclitus (mummichog), 404 nucleotides. RefSeq lists it as uncharacterized. The transcript has 2 exons. NCBI's taxonomy places the organism in Eukaryota, Metazoa, Chordata, Actinopteri, Cyprinodontiformes, Fundulidae. The record is from RefSeq and is a predicted model, not a curated record.
UAUUGAAACCAAGAGACUUUCACAGAAAAUAAAGAGACAUGUUUAAUGUUCAGCUGAGUUUCAGCAUGUUUUAAGUUUAAAUACCUGAAAUUCACCAACAUUUUACACAUCGUUACCCACAGUGAUUCUCUGAUUAAAGAUAUAUCAGUUUUAAAACACCAGCUGUUGAUACAGUUUGAAAAUAUUUUUUUAUACAAAUAGGUCAAUAAAUUCAAAAGGAACAUUUAAAGAGAACUUGUAGAAAUAUUUUUUCAUUUUCAAUAAACCAUUUGGAGUUAUUUACUCUUUUAAAUUGGUAACCAUAACCUGAUUAAAGAAACACCAUUUUCAGUAAAAGCCACAUUCCAGAGACGAUGUUUGCAUAAGAAGUGAGAAUUUAAUUAAUCAGUUAUUCAACAAAAAAA